Molecule: ribosomal RNA, 430 nt
Filed under: uncultured bacterium
Lineage: Bacteria
Description: bacterial SSU rRNA
Rfam family: Bacterial small subunit ribosomal RNA
Source: RNAcentral
AAUCAACGCUGGCGGCGUGCCUCAGACAUGCAAGUCGAACGCGAAAGGCCCCUUCGGGGGCCGAGUAGAGUGGCGCACGGGUGAGUAACACGUAGGUAAUCUACCUCUGGGUGGGGAAUAACAGUCGGAAACGGCUGCUAAUACCGCAUAAUGCAGCGGCACCACAUGGUGACAGUUGUUAAAGCGGGGGAUCGUAAGGCCUCGCGCCUAGAGAUGAGCCUGCGGCGGAUUAGCUAGUUGGCAGGGUAACGGCCUACCAAGGCGACGAUCCGUAGCCGGCCUGAGAGGGCGGACGGCCACACUGGCACUGACAUACGGGCCAGACUCCUACGGGAGGCAGCAGUCGGGAAUUUUGGGCAAUGGGCGAAAGCCUGACCCAGCAACGCCGCGUGAAGGAUGAAGCUUCUCGGAGUGUAAACUUCAUAAGAAU